Cynoglossus semilaevis (tongue sole) is the source of this 1237-nucleotide long non-coding RNA. RefSeq lists it as uncharacterized. NCBI's taxonomy places the organism in Eukaryota, Metazoa, Chordata, Actinopteri, Pleuronectiformes, Cynoglossidae. The transcript is spliced from 2 exons. The record is from RefSeq and is a predicted model, not a curated record.
UGGGGGUCUGGAGGUCUGGGGGUCUGGCAUAUCUUUAAAGAAAAACAUUGAAGUCUUUGAUGUUUUCAGGUUUCUCGUCGACAGAAGUCUCCACUGAGCUCCAGGGCGCCGCCACAGGUGGGGGCUCCAGCAGCAGCCGCUCAUCGGUGCUCCUGGUCCUGGCCGCGGUCGCUGCUCUCCUCUGAGUCCUGGAGGAGGAAUCGAACCCUCGACCGUUUCUGUCGACCUUGAAGGAAAACUACAUUUUAAUCUCAUCAUAAUUUCAUUGGCCCAGAGACGGUUGGUACCUCCCAGUGGACCGCACCACCUGCAGGGGGGGGGGGCACGGUGUGACCUGGGUGGAGGUCGUGGAGACUGCUGACCCCGCGACCCGGUGAUUGAUGGACAGAUGGACAGAUGGUGGUGGUGGUGGUGGGGGGGGGUCCACUCUUAACCUCCAGUUCCAGGUGACAACAGUAACAGCAGGUGAUUUGGGUCUUUAUGUUUAUGUUUAUGUUUAUGUUUAUGUUUAUGUUUAUGUUUAUGUUUAUGUUUAUGUUCUCCGUCAGUGAUUGGCUCCAUUAGAUCCACGGUGCCUCCAACAGGCGUCUCUGCUGCCCCCUGGUGUCGUUUCUGUAUAGGUGUAGUUAAAAAAGGUUUUAUUUUCCAGCAGAAUUCCGACCCGGUGGAGAACCGGUGGAGAACCGGGUCGGUUGACACACGUUCUCCUGUGUCACUGAUCAAAACACCUCCACGAACCAGAGAUCAUCUCUCCCCGGGCCGUGGUUCUUCAAAACUCUGAAACGCCCCCUAGUGGACGGAAUUAAAACCUUGGGUGAUCAUGUCUUAAAUCUGUUGUCGUUUUUAUUUGUCAUCGUUUUAGAUGUGUUUUAAUCUGCAGAGUUCGACUGUUUCCUGCCAGGACGUCAGGAGGUCACAGGUCACAUGACGCGUGUGUGUGUGUGUGUGUGUGUGUGUGUUCACUGCUGGGAGAAAAACCUUUCUUUUUCUCGUCUUUUGUCUGCGUGGUGGGGCGUGGCCCCUGCGUGGCCCCUGCAGUGUUUCAUCCGCAGACUUCGGUGACACUGACGAGUCUCUCCACCACUUUUUCAAAGACUGUUUUAAGUGCAUCAGUUUUUAACUUUUGUUGCUAAGCAGUGUUGGCCAAAUCUGUGCCGAUUGGCUGGAGAUGGCACGUUUGCCUGGCAACAUCAGCUGAUUGUGGAUUCUGGUGACACUGGCAAUAAAAAAAAAAAAA